UACGGAGGGUGCAAGCGUUAUCCGGAUUCACUGGGCUUAAAGGGUGCGUAGGAGGGCAGGUAAGUCAGUGGUGAAAUCUCCAAGCUUAACUUGGAAACUGCCGUUGAUACUAUCUGUCUUGAAUAUUGUGGAGGUGAGCGGAAUAUGUCAUGUAGCGGUGAAAUGCUUAGAUAUGACACAGAACACCAAUUGCGAAGGCAGCUCACUACUCAAUCAUUGACUCUGAGGCACGAAAGCGUGGGGAUCAAACAGG
RNAcentral lists this ribosomal RNA (253 nucleotides) under uncultured bacterium. RNAcentral's name for it is "partial 16S ribosomal RNA". It matches the Rfam family "Bacterial small subunit ribosomal RNA", at positions 524 to 776 of the family's 1533-position model. The record is from RNAcentral.